UACGUAGGGAGCAAGCGUUGUCCGGAAUCAUUGGGCGUAAAGCGCGCGUAGGCGGCCCUGUAAGUCCGUUGUGAAAGUCAAAGGCUCAACCUUUGAAAGCCGAUGGAUACUGCAGGGCUAGAGUCCGGAAGAGGCGAGUGGAAUUCCUGGUGUAGCGGUGGAAUGCGCAGAUAUCAGGAGGAACACCAAUUGCGAAGGCAGCUCGCUGGGACGUGACUGACGCUGAGACGCGAAAGCGUGGGGAGCAAACAGG
Molecule: ribosomal RNA, 253 nt
Filed under: uncultured bacterium
Lineage: Bacteria
Description: partial 16S ribosomal RNA
Rfam family: Bacterial small subunit ribosomal RNA
Source: RNAcentral